GCGGGGAUGCUGCAAGCAGUGCCGCCUCAUGGUACUCGGAGGGAGGUUGUCCGUGGUGAGUUCGCAUUAUUUAAUGAUGC
Molecule: microRNA precursor, 80 nt
Filed under: Tursiops truncatus (common bottlenose dolphin)
Lineage: Eukaryota; Metazoa; Chordata; Mammalia; Artiodactyla; Delphinidae
Description: miRNA (ENSTTRG00000023507.1)
Source: RNAcentral